This 209-nucleotide long non-coding RNA is filed under the name Elaeis guineensis (African oil palm). Its description in RNAcentral is "long non-coding RNA (EGUI_LNC073076)". Lineage: Eukaryota; Viridiplantae; Streptophyta; Magnoliopsida; Arecales; Arecaceae. The record is from RNAcentral.
UGUUGGACAGUUCCUUCUCCAGUGGCCUUUAGCAUGACAGUGAAAAUAUUUUUCCUUUGCUUCGACCUUAUCAGAAACUUCUUUCUUUGGCCUGUUCUCUUUUUUCUAUUUCUUAGUGAAUUUAACCUUCUUCCUAGUAGACUUUUUCUUGAAAAAAGUCUGCUCCACAGCGAGAACAGUACCCUUUGAACUCUUCAAGAUUCCCUCCG